Molecule: non-coding RNA, 144 nt
Organism: Gossypium arboreum
Lineage: Eukaryota; Viridiplantae; Streptophyta; Magnoliopsida; Malvales; Malvaceae
Source: Rfam
UGUUAAAAAUUUUAUCCAUUUAGACUAUUAAAAAUCAGUGUGGCUGAUGGAAAAUCAGACAUUAAAACGUGGUAUAUCAAGUGUACUUUAUACUGACGUACAGGGACCAAUUUUUAACAACUAAAAUGGAUAGAAUUUUUUACA